CCGCUGCUUGUUACUAGGCUCCGCGGGAGGCAGAAUGGCGCAAGCGAGCAGGCGAGUGCUCGAAUGGAUCUAUUUUCUGAUUCUUCUCACCGCUGUAUUGCUUUCAUGGGGAUAUGUCAUUUAUGCAACACGACUGGCUGCCCAGUGGCAGCUGGAGGAGGACUACCCCAUGCAGACCCAUAAUAUUUGAGAAAGACUGAAGCAGGGAGAGACUGCAGAAGUUCAGACACUUUAAAAGUACUCUUACCGUCAUGGAUACUAACACACUGUAAAGAAAAUCUAUGUUCAACUGUUCAAGAAACUGCUGAAAUUUCAGAAGUAGGAGAGAGAUCUUGUAUAAAGAUGCGAUAUUCUCGCUCCUGUCAACUGAAAUGGAACACUUUAAACUGUACACCAGCAGACUCCAUGAAGAUAGUUUUCAAGUCCUGUACACUCCACUGAGGAUUAUGCUGGUACAGGCCAGAGGAAUCAGGCACAAUGCAACCUCAAAGAAUCACCAAGAACAACCUCCACCAAACUUUGUGCAUCUGUGUUGGUGGUUUAAAUGGCAAAACUGAACACUUUUGACUUGAACAGAUCAUCCACUGAUUUCAUGUAUAAAAAUGACAUACCAUUUUGUAAUCUUACUAUAAAAAUUACUAUUUGUAAGC
Eublepharis macularius is the source of this 650-nucleotide long non-coding RNA. RefSeq lists it as uncharacterized. The transcript is spliced from 2 exons. The record is from RefSeq and is a predicted model, not a curated record. NCBI's taxonomy places the organism in Eukaryota, Metazoa, Chordata, Lepidosauria, Squamata, Eublepharidae.